Long non-coding RNA from Salvia miltiorrhiza (redroot sage), 822 nucleotides. RefSeq lists it as uncharacterized. The transcript is spliced from 3 exons. Lineage: Eukaryota; Viridiplantae; Streptophyta; Magnoliopsida; Lamiales; Lamiaceae. The record is from RefSeq and is a predicted model, not a curated record.
CUAAAGAAAGUCCAUUCAUUUAAAAAAAAUUAUUUACGCGCCAUGUAUUCACCAAAAAUUCCCGCUCUCUACUGCACGAAAUAAAAUCCCUUAAAAAUAUAAGGAAUAGGGCGGUUUGAUGAGAGAGAGGGAGGGGUUUAAGAUCGGCCAGUCAUAGAAACUCCCUCGCAUCACCUUCACAAGCUAACCCUAGUCCACCUCUACUGUUAUCGGUUUCACAAUGUCUCCUUCAAAUUCACCCCAAACCCAACAACUCGAAGCCAAACUAAUCUUGCCAUCCAUCAGGAAGCCCCAAUAUGUGAAUCCUUUGAUUCACUGAAAUCAACCAAACAAUUCCCUAGAGAGAGUUCCGACAAAUUUGAUCGAAGAAGCGAGCAUCGGCGAUAAAAAUGCUCUCCUCUGCAUAUUUGGCAAUCGUUUUUCUGAGGACAGAUACCAGCCGAUUUUGUAAAAUUUGCAGAUAGCAAAAUGCCAAACUUACAAAUUCCCAUAUCAUUAUUGGUUUUGUCUGGUCUUUCUAGCCUUAUAUCUGAUCCAGUAUCAGAGGUAAAUAUGCUGAUCUUGAUGGUCACUAAUUGAAGCAUCUUUUGGAUGAAGAAAUGUGCCAAUAACUUGUGUUUUACAUACCAACGGCUAUAACAAGUUAUGAAAGGUUAUAUAUUUAUUCCCUAUAUUUUAAUUUAAGUUUAUAUACAUUUUAUAACAUAGACGUAUGUAUGGCUCCUGAAAUCAAACACAGCUAAGCUACUGGCAGAGCAUCAACGGCAGCUGAAAUAUAUAUGCAGGAAUAUGACCUUACACAUAAGUUAAGUACCUCAGUAC